AACGAACGCUGGCGGCAGGCCUAACACAUGCAAGUCGAGCGAGGACUUCGGUUCUAGCGGCGGACGGGUGAGUAACGCGUGGGAAUGUGCCCUUCUCUACGGAAUAGCCCUGGGAAACUGGGAGUAAUACCGUAUACGCCCUAUUGGGGAAAGAUUUAUCGGAGAAGGAUCAGCCCGCGUUGGAUUAGGUAGUUGGUGGGGUAAUGGCCUACCAAGCCGACGAUCCAUAGCUGGGUUGAGAGGAUGAUCAGCCACACUGGGACUGAGACACGGCCCAGACUCCUACGGGAGGCAGCAGUGGGGAAUCUUAGACAAUGGGGGCAACCAUGAUCGAGCCAUGCCGCGUGAGUGAUGAAGGCCUUAGGGUUGUAAAGCUCUUUCAGCUGGGAAGAUAAUGACGGUACCAGCAGAAGAAGCCCCGGCUAACUCCGUG
Molecule: ribosomal RNA, 433 nt
Filed under: uncultured bacterium
Lineage: Bacteria
Description: partial 16S ribosomal RNA
Rfam family: Bacterial small subunit ribosomal RNA
Source: RNAcentral